UUCUUCUAUUUAAUUCUCUUCAUGUUCUUCUUCUUCGACGAUUUUGAGAGAUGAUGAGGGUUCGAACCAUUAAGGAUAACAAGUAGGGAUUGUUCGGGUUCUUAUUUGAAGUAUUGAAUCGGUGAAGAAUUGAAGAAAUUAGAGUUUAUAGAUUCGAUUGAUGUUCUGAAAGUCUAAAAGAUGAUAUAUAGAGAUAUUCUUAGAUGAGAAGACAUGGGUAGACGUUAAAUGGAAGUAUUGAAGUUGAUUCAGAUAAUUGAUGAAAUCAAAGAAGUUAGGGUUUCUCAGGUAUUUGAAUUAGAGUUCGAAUUAGUGGUGAAUAAGAUGAAUUAAAAGAUGGGUUUGGAGAUUAUAACACGAGGAAGAAGAUAGUUUCGUUGAUUCGAGGAAUUUAGGAAUCAGAGGUUCUGGUAAUGAAUUUGGGGAUUGAAUUAGGGUUCAAAGGAUUUCAAGAGUUGUAUGGAGAAUUAGAUUGUGUUGUUGUUGCUGAUUUAAGAAUUAGGAAUCAAGAGGAUGUAGAGAUGGAAGAUCAAAGAUUUUAUUGAAGAGUUGGGGUUUUGCGUUUGGGACUGAGGUUGAUAAUUGGAAGUGGUUGAUGAAACUAAGGCUUAAUUAUGUGAAGAGUAAGGUGAUGGAGUGGUUAUUGGUGUUGAUUUGUGUAUUUAGACAACCUCAGAUGAAAGAUGAGGGAAUGGUGGUGAUGAUUGUGUUAGUUAUGAAAUGUGGAUUGCAGGGGGUUGUAGUUGGAUAUUUAGUAUUAAUUGAUGCUGAACUGUUAACAGAAGGAGAUGGGUUCCAAGUUCUAAUGGAUAUCAGUUGAUACAAACUGAAGCGAUUGAUGGUGUUCUUGGAAUGGAUUGCUGAAUCAAUUUAAAGGUAAUUGUCUUCCUAAAUCAAUUUAGUAAAGUUGUUCAUCUUCUUAGAUUAAGUGUAUGUGAAUGAUAAUAGAUAUAGAUUGUGUUGAGUUUUCCCGAGUGAUGUUGAUGAAGUGGUGAAACUGGGGAUAAUUGUGUUUAGUGUAAUUGAUGUAUGAUCUUAACAGAAGUUGGCGUAGUAGUGAUUUUAUGAGAAUAAUGAUGCAAUUUCUGGUGCAGGCAGUGUGUGCUAGUUAUGGAAUUGAGUUGCAGUCAUGAUUAGUUGAACUAGUGGAGAUGGUGCAUGAAUUGCAGUUGUGCUGACUGUUACAGGGCGUGGAUGAAAUAAUGAAAUUCGUAAAUAUUGCAUAUGUGGGUUAUCGUUGUACCGAUUUGGUAAUAAUGAUAGUAUGGGAAUUGAUUGAUGGGUGAUGAAUGUUGGAAGUGAUAAUGGUGGAUAAGACACUGUGGAUGUGAAGAAUGACUGGUUAGAAUGAGUAUAUGUGUUGAUGAGAUGAUCAGCUUUGUAAUGGUGAUAUGUUAGAGUGGUUAUUGACUGAAUGUGCAAUGGUGGUGUCAAGUGUGGUUAUGAGUAAAGAGGAUUUGAAUAUUGCAGCUACUGCAUUUGCAGUUAGUUAUUAACGACGAUCGAUUCAAAAGAUGAACCAGCGGAUUGUGGAUCUCGAGGUAGGCGUGGCUUGUCAUCAAAAGUGGUGGGAAUACAUUUAACUCUUUCGAAACCAUUGUUGUUUCUUUUAAAAAAAAUUAUGUUUAAGGAACUCAUGCAUUGUCAGUUUGUGCUUUCCAUGCGUUGGUUAUUUGUAUUAUGAUUAUUCUGUUGAUUCUUUGUAAUCUUUCCAUGGUUUGGAAAGAACUUAUAAUGUUUGAAUGUCAAUAUGAAUUUUU
Molecule: long non-coding RNA, 1760 nt
Organism: Papaver somniferum (opium poppy)
Lineage: Eukaryota; Viridiplantae; Streptophyta; Magnoliopsida; Ranunculales; Papaveraceae
Exons: 2
Source: RefSeq, a predicted model, not a curated record